RNAcentral lists this ribosomal RNA (301 nucleotides) under uncultured bacterium. RNAcentral's name for it is "partial 16S ribosomal RNA". It matches the Rfam family "Bacterial small subunit ribosomal RNA", at positions 509 to 809 of the family's 1533-position model. The record is from RNAcentral.
CAGUAGCCGCGGUAAUACGUAGGCGGCAAGCGUUGUCCGGAAUUAUUGGGCGUAAAGGGAGCGCAGGUGGGACGGUAAGUCCGUCUUAAAAGGCAGGGGCUCAGCCCCUGUAAGGGAUGGAAACUAUCGAUCUUGAGUGCCGGAGAGGAAAGUGGAAUUCCCAGUGUAGCGGUGAAAUGCGUAGAUAUUGGGAAGAACACCAGUGGCGAAGGCGGCUUUCUGGACGGCAACUGACACUGAGGCUCGAAAGCCAGGGGAGCGAACGGGAUUAGAUACCCCCGUAGUCCCUGUCUCUUAUACA